Long non-coding RNA from Solea senegalensis (Senegalese sole), 456 nucleotides. RefSeq lists it as uncharacterized. NCBI's taxonomy places the organism in Eukaryota, Metazoa, Chordata, Actinopteri, Pleuronectiformes, Soleidae. The record is from RefSeq and is a predicted model, not a curated record. The transcript has 3 exons.
UCUGCUGUAUCUGGGUAAAGAAGGUACACAGGUGAAGCUUUGGGCCUAAUCUGUGAAAGAAAGCAAGAAAGAAAGAAAGAAUGAAAGAAAGAAAGAAAGCAACCAACCCAGGUUGGAUGUGGAGACAGCGGGAUGACGCGUUAAUCCCUCGCUGACGAAGGAGAAGGUGGAGGAGAACGUGAACUUCAAACUGCAGAGCAGCGAGCUGUCGAAUGGGCUGACCAAUCAUGAGCAUCAGAGGCAUACACAGAUGGAGGCAGCCUUUUGUUGUGCGCCGCACUCAUCAAGUUAGAAGACAACUGCCGAAUUGGCCUGAAGAAAAUUAAAAGAUGGAACAUCUUAUCCAAUCAGGCUGGUCAGCGUGUGUUGGUGUGAGUGGGUGGCAGGAUUUCAGUGCCAUUCAUGAUGUCAAGUGGGACCAUGGCCGCUCGUCUAUUCCCAGCCUGGCCAACCCUC